RNAcentral lists this small RNA (28 nucleotides) under Bombyx mori (domestic silkworm). RNAcentral describes it as "ovarian small RNA-31478". Lineage: Eukaryota; Metazoa; Arthropoda; Insecta; Lepidoptera; Bombycidae. The record is from RNAcentral.
UGACAUUGAGACGUGCUUUAAACUGUGC